RNAcentral lists this ribosomal RNA (800 nucleotides) under uncultured bacterium. Its description in RNAcentral is "bacterial SSU rRNA". It matches the Rfam family "Bacterial small subunit ribosomal RNA", at positions 41 to 803 of the family's 1533-position model. The record is from RNAcentral.
GGCGAAGGCUAUACUGCAGUCUAGCGAGCUUGCCUAGAUGAUUUUAGUGCUUGCGCUAAAUGAAACUAGAUACAAGCGAGCGGCGGACGGGUGAGUAACACGUGGGUAACCUGCCCAAGAGACUGGGAUAACACCUGGAAACAGAUGCUAAUACCGGAUAACAACACUAGACGCAUGUCUAGAGUUUGAAAGAUGGUUCUGCUAUCACUCUUGGAUGGACCUGCGGUGCAUUAGCUAGUUGGUAAGGUAACGGCUUACCAAGGCAAUGAUGCAUAGCCGAGUUGAGAGACUGAUCGGCCACAUUGGGACUGAGACACGGCCCAAACUCCUACGGGAGGCAGCAGUAGGGAAUCUUCCACAAUGGACGAAAGUCUGAUGGAGCAACGCCGCGUGAGUGAAGAAGGGUUUCGGCUCGUAAAGCUCUGUUGGUAGUGAAGAAAGAUAGAGGUAGUAACUGGCCUUUAUUUGACGGUAAUUACUUAGAAAGUCACGGCUAACUACGUGCCAGCAGCCGCGGUAAUACGUAGGUGGCAAGCGUUGUCCGGAUUUAUUGGGCGUAAAGCGAGUGCAGGCGGUUCAAUAAGUCUGAUGUGAAAGCCUUCGGCUCAACCGGAGAAUUGCAUCAGAAACUGUUGAACUUGAGUGCAGAAGAGGAGAGUGGAACUCCAUGUGUAGCGGUGGAAUGCGUAGAUAUAUGGAAGAACACCAGUGGCGAAGGCGGCUCUCUGGUCUGCAACUGACGCUGAGGCUCGAAAGCAUGGGUAGCGAACAGGAUUAGAUACCCUGGUAGUCCCUGCCGU